ACACGGGGGGCGCAAGCGUUAUUCGGAAUUAUUGGGCGUAAAGGGCGCGUAGGCGGUCUUGUCGGUCAGAUGUGAAAGCCCAGGGCUCAACCCUGGACGUGCAUUUGAAACAGCAAGACUUGAGUACGCGAGAGGAAAGCGGAAUUCCUGGUGUAGAGGUGAAAUUCGUAGAUAUCAGGAGGAACACCGAUGGCGAAGGCAGCUUUCUGGACCGAUACUGACGCUGAGGCGCGAAGGCGUGGGUAGCGAACAGAAUUAGAAACCCCAGUAGUCC
This 274-nucleotide ribosomal RNA is filed under the name uncultured bacterium. RNAcentral describes it as "partial 16S ribosomal RNA". It matches the Rfam family "Bacterial small subunit ribosomal RNA", at positions 523 to 796 of the family's 1533-position model. The record is from RNAcentral.